GCCUGGGUGGCUCAGUGGUUGAGCACCUGUCUUUGGCUCAGGGCGUGAUCCCGGAGUCCUGGGAUCAAGUCCCACAUCGGGCU
Molecule: transfer RNA, 83 nt
Filed under: Canis lupus familiaris (dog)
Lineage: Eukaryota; Metazoa; Chordata; Mammalia; Carnivora; Canidae
Also listed under: 2 other names
Rfam family: tRNA
About the family: Transfer RNA (tRNA) molecules are approximately 80 nucleotides in length. Their secondary structure includes four short double-helical elements and three loops (D, anti-codon, and T loops).
Source: Rfam by way of RNAcentral